UGCAGUCGAGCGAAUGGAUUAAGAGCUUGCUCUUAUGAAGUUAGCGGCGGACGGGUGAGUAACACGUGGGUAACCUGCCCAUAAGACUGGGAUAACUCCGGGAAACCGGGGCUAAUACCGGAUAACAUUUUGAACNGCAUGGUUCGAAAUUGAAAGGCGGCUUCGGCUGUCACUUAUGGAUGGACCCGCGUCGCAUUAGCUAGUUGGUGAGGUAACGGCUCACCAAGGCAACGAUGCGUAGCCGACCUGAGAGGGUGAUCGGCCACACUGGGACUGAGACACGGCCCAGACUCCUACGGGAGGCAGCAGUAGGGAAUCUUCCGCAAUGGACGAAAGUCUGACGGAGCAACGCCGCGUGAGUGAUGAAGGCUUUCGGGUCGUAAAACUCUGUUGUUAGGGAAGAACAAGUGCUAGUUGAAUAAGCUGGCACCUUGACGGUACCUAACCAGAAAGCCACGGCUAACUACGUGCCAGCAGCCGCGGUAAUACGUAGGUGGCAAGCGUUAUCCGGAAUUAUUGGGCGUAAAGCGCGCGCAGGUGGUUUCUUAAGUCUGAUGUGAAAGCCCACGGCUCAACCGUGGAGGGUCAUUGGAAACUGGGAGACUUGAGUGCAGAAGAGGAAAGUGGAAUUCCAUGUGUAGCGGUGAAAUGCGUA
Molecule: ribosomal RNA, 655 nt
Filed under: uncultured bacterium
Lineage: Bacteria
Description: bacterial SSU rRNA
Rfam family: Bacterial small subunit ribosomal RNA
Source: RNAcentral